Molecule: non-coding RNA, 87 nt
Organism: Acanthosepion pharaonis
Lineage: Eukaryota; Metazoa; Mollusca; Cephalopoda; Sepiida; Sepiidae
Source: the annotation of a GenBank genome assembly
UGUUCCCGUACGAACACCGAAGUUAAGCAACGUCUGGCUUGGUCAGAAUCUAGAUGGGUAACCACUUGGGAAUAUCAGGUGCUGUAA